UAGAGUUUGAUCCUGGCUCAGGAUGAACGCUGGCGGCGUGCCUAAUACAUGCAAGUCGAGCGAACAGAUAAGGAGCUUGCUCCUUUGAAGUUAGCGGCGGACGGGUGAGUAACACGUGGGUAACCUACCUAUAAGACUGGGAUAACUUCGGGAAACCGGAGCUAAUACCGGAUAACAUUUAGAACCGCAUGGUUCUAAAGUGAAAGAUGGUUUUGCUAUCACUUAUAGAUGGACCCGCGCCGUAUUAGCUAGUUGGUAAGGUAACGGCUUACCAAGGCGACGAUACGUAGCCGACCUGAGAGGGUGAUCGGCCACACUGGAACUGAGACACGGUCCAGACUCCUACGGGAGGCAGCAGUAGGGAAUCUUCCGCAAUGGGCGAAAGCCUGACGGAGCAACGCCGCGUGAGUGAUGAAGGGUUUCGGCUCGUAAAACUCUGUUAUUAGGGAAGAACAAAUGUGUAAGUAACUGUGCACUCCUUGUACGGUACCUA
This 493-nucleotide ribosomal RNA is filed under the name Staphylococcus xylosus. RNAcentral describes it as "bacterial SSU rRNA". It matches the Rfam family "Bacterial small subunit ribosomal RNA", at positions 1 to 481 of the family's 1533-position model. Lineage: Bacteria; Bacillati; Bacillota; Bacilli; Caryophanales; Staphylococcaceae. The record is from RNAcentral.